GUGCUCAAUUCAGCAGCACAAAUGCUCAAAUUGAAAUGAUACAGAGAAGAGUACUAUGGUUCCUGUGCAAGGAUGACACAAAAACUCAUGAAGUAUUUCCUAAUUUU
Molecule: small nuclear RNA, 107 nt
Organism: Mastomys coucha (southern multimammate mouse)
Lineage: Eukaryota; Metazoa; Chordata; Mammalia; Rodentia; Muridae
Source: RefSeq, a predicted model, not a curated record